CGCUUCUAACCGUCCUUAAGCUGGACAACUUACUUUGACAUCUGACCUCAAAUCAGGUAGGACUACCCGCUGAACUUAA
Molecule: ribosomal RNA, 79 nt
Filed under: Phanerochaete sp. Y6
Lineage: Eukaryota; Fungi; Basidiomycota; Agaricomycetes; Polyporales; Phanerochaetaceae
Description: partial 28S ribosomal RNA
Source: RNAcentral